Molecule: transfer RNA, 85 nt
Filed under: Enterobacteriaceae endosymbiont of Plateumaris sericea
Lineage: Bacteria; Pseudomonadati; Pseudomonadota; Gammaproteobacteria; Enterobacterales; Enterobacteriaceae
Description: tRNA-Ser
Rfam family: tRNA
About the family: Transfer RNA (tRNA) molecules are approximately 80 nucleotides in length. Their secondary structure includes four short double-helical elements and three loops (D, anti-codon, and T loops). Further hydrogen bonds mediate the characteristic L-shaped molecular structure. tRNAs have two regions of fundamental functional importance: the anti-codon, which is responsible for specific mRNA codon recognition, and the 3' end, to which the tRNAs corresponding amino acid is attached (by aminoacyl-tRNA synthetases). tRNAs cope with the degeneracy of the genetic code in two manners: having more than one tRNA (with a specific anti-codon) for a particular amino acid; and 'wobble' base-pairing, i.e. permitting non-standard base-pairing at the 3rd anti-codon position.
Source: RNAcentral
GGUGAGAUGGCCGAGUGGUUGAAGGCGUACGCCUGGAAAGCGUAUAUAUGGAAACGUAUCAGGGGUUCGAAUCCCCUUCUCACCU